UGUAACAAGGUUUUCGUAGGAGAACCUGCGGAAGGAUCAUUGUCGAAACCUGCAAAGCAGAACGACCCGCGAACACGUUUAGAACACCGGCCGCGCUGCGCAGGCAGGGUGCUUCGGCCCCCAUCCGCGCGCGCGUAUCUCCCGUCCUUGGCGCGCGCUUGCGCUGGCCGGGUGACCAACUAACCCCGACGCGGAAAGCGCUAAGGAAUACUUAAGCUGGCAGCCCGCCCCCCCGCGCGUCGGGGGGAACGUGUGCUCCUUUCGAAAUGAAAUGACUCUCAGCAACGGAUAUCUUAACUCUCGCAUUGAUGAAGAAUGUAGCAAAAUGCGAUACUUGGUGUGAAUUGCAGAAUCCCAUGAAACAAYGAGUCUUUGAACGCAAGUUGCACCCGAAGCCAUUAGGCCGAGGGCACGUCUGCCUGGGCGUAAUGCAUCGCAUCGCCCCGCCCGCACACUGCUCUCCGGGGGGGCGGAUACUGGCCUCCCGUGCGCCUAGAGAUCACAGAUGGCCUAAAUGCGAGUCCACGUCGACGGACGUCGCGGCAAGUGGUGGUUGAACCUCAACUCUCGUGGUUGCCGCGGGUACAGAUCGUCGCGCGUGUGGCCUCCCCGACCCUUCACGUGCUUAGGCGCUCCGACCGUGACCCUAGGUCUGGCGGGAUUACCCACUGAGUUUAAGCAUAUCAAU
RNAcentral lists this unclassified non-coding RNA (688 nucleotides) under Euonymus actinocarpus. RNAcentral's name for it is "partial contains small subunit ribosomal RNA, internal transcribed spacer 1, 5.8S ribosomal RNA, internal transcribed spacer 2, and large subunit ribosomal RNA". Lineage: Eukaryota; Viridiplantae; Streptophyta; Magnoliopsida; Celastrales; Celastraceae. The record is from RNAcentral.